Molecule: ribosomal RNA, 494 nt
Filed under: uncultured bacterium
Lineage: Bacteria
Description: partial 16S ribosomal RNA
Rfam family: Bacterial small subunit ribosomal RNA
Source: RNAcentral
GAUGAACGCUGGCGGCGUGCCUAAUACAUGCAAGUAGAACGAUGAGAGAGGGGCUUGGCCUUCUGGAUGAGUGGCGCAGGGGGGAGUGAAGCGUAGGGAAAAUGCAUGGAAGAGGGGGAGAAAAAUUGGAAAAGAUAGCUAAUACAGCAUAAAAGAAGAUGUUGCAUGAGAUUUACUAAAAAGAUGCAAUUGCACCACUACCAGAUGGAGCUGCGUCGUAUUAGCUAGUUGGUGGGGUAACGGCUCACCAAGGCGACGAUGCGUAGCCGACCUGAGAGGGUUAUCGGCCACACUGGAACUGAGACACGGUCCAGACUCCUACGGGAGGCAGCAGUAGGGAAUCUUCCGCAAUGGGCGGAAGCCUGACCGAGCAACGCCGCGUGAGUGAUGAAGGUUUUCGGAUCGUAAAACUCUGUUAUUAGGGAAGAACAAAUGUGUAAGUAAAUAUUCCCCUCUUGACCGUAACUUAUCCGAAAGCCGCCGCUAAAUUCCUU